AACGAACGCUGGCGGCAGGCCUAACACAUGCAAGUCGAGCGGACCCUUCGGGUUUAGCGGCGGACGGGUGAGUAACGCGUGGGAAUAUGCCCUUCUCUACGGAAUAGUCCUGGGAAACUGGGGGUAAUACCGUAUACGCCCUUUGGGGGAAAGAUUUAUCGGGGAAGGAUUAGCCCGCGUUGGCUUAGGUAGUUGGUGGGGUAAUGGCCUACCAAGCCGACGAUCCAUAGAUGGUUUGAGAGGAUGAUCAGCCACACUGGGACUGAGACACGGCCCAGACUCCUACGGGAGGCAGCAGUGGGGAAUCUUAGAAAAUGGGGGCAACCCUGAUCUAGCCAUGCCGCGUGAGUGAUGAAGGCCUUAGGGUUGUAAAGCGCGUUCAGCUGGGAAGAUAAUGACGGUACCAGCAGAAGAAGCCCCGGCUAACUCCGUG
RNAcentral lists this ribosomal RNA (433 nucleotides) under uncultured bacterium. Its description in RNAcentral is "partial 16S ribosomal RNA". It matches the Rfam family "Bacterial small subunit ribosomal RNA", at positions 29 to 507 of the family's 1533-position model. The record is from RNAcentral.